UGGGGAAUAUUGCACAAUGGGCGCAAGCCUGAUGCAGCCAUGCCGCGUGUAUGAAGAAGGCCUUCGGGUUGUAAAGUACUUUCAGCGAGGAGGAAGGUGUUGUAGUUAAUACCGCAGCAUUGACGUUACUCGCAGAAGAAGCACCGGCUAACUCCGUGCCAGCAGCCGCGGUAAUACGGAGGGUGCAAGCGUUAAUCGGAAUUACUGGGCGUAAAGCGCACGCAGGCGGUCUGUCCAGUCGGAUGUGAAAUCCCCGGGCUCAACCUGGGAACUGCAUCCGAAACUGGCAGGCUAGAGUUCUUG
RNAcentral lists this ribosomal RNA (303 nucleotides) under uncultured Enterobacteriaceae bacterium. RNAcentral describes it as "bacterial SSU rRNA". It matches the Rfam family "Bacterial small subunit ribosomal RNA", at positions 355 to 652 of the family's 1533-position model. The record is from RNAcentral. Lineage: Bacteria; Pseudomonadati; Pseudomonadota; Gammaproteobacteria; Enterobacterales; Enterobacteriaceae.